CUCCCCGAGGUUUGCACCACGCACAAGCCACAGCGCAGCCUCGCUUGCACACCACCAACCAAACCAAACCAAACUGGCGAUCGAUCGCCGCAGAAUCGCUUUCAUCUCCCCGCAAAGCCAUCCUUUAACUCCCGCCCGUGCCACGACCUCUCGCAUUACCUUCCUUUAAAACCAUGCAAUCCUCCCAGCCGCUCCAUGCACUCCGACGACUUCCCAAGAACCCGCCAGCACUCCACCUAGCGGGACGAUCAAACCACCGGCCGUGUACGCGACGAUGAUGCCCGUGUACGGCGGCGAGGUGCGGCAGCGGACGUGCCGCAUGUACUGGUGCUACCAGUGCGCGCGGGCGCUCCGCAUCAUCUCCUACCCGGCCACCGACGUCUUCUGCCCGCGCUGCUACGGCCGCUUCCUCCACGAGAUCGACCCGCCGCCGCGCCCGGCCCUCCCCCCGCCGGGCUACUUCCCGCACCACUUCGCGCCGCACCCGCACGCGUACUACCACGACGGGAACCCGCGCCGGUGGGUCGUGUACGGCGCCGCGCCCACGGUGCCCGGACGCCCGUUCCGCCAGCUGCCCCCGCCGGUGCGGGAGCCGGCGCCGGGGCCGACGCGGGUCCAUGCGCCGGCCCCGACGCCCCCGCCUCGCCGGCGCAUGCCCUCCCCGCCGCCGGCGCCGGUGGCGCGGCGGCCGUCCACGCCCCCGGCCAUCGACCCGGGGGACUACUUCACGGGGGGCGACCUCAACCGCCUCGUGGAGGAGCUGACCCAGAACGACCGCCCCGGCCCCGCGCCGGCGCCCUCGUCGGCCAUCGACUCGCUCCCGACGGUGCGGAUCGCCGCGCAGCACCUGUCGGACGACGGCGGGUCGCAGUGCCCCGUGUGCAAGGAGGAGUUCGAGCUCGGGGAGGCCGCGCGGCAGCUGCCGUGCAAGCACGUGUACCACUCCGACUGCAUCGUGCCCUGGCUCCGCCUCCACAACUCCUGCCCCGUCUGCCGCUUCAAGCUGCCCGGCACCGGCGCCGCCUCCAGCACACGCCGCGCCAGCGGCAGCAACGGUGCAAGGAACAGAGACAGGGAGAGGGAGAGGGAGCCGGCGACGACGGUGAGGUGGGGGCCCCUGUCGUGGAUGGUGCCGGCGCGCGGGACGGAGGAGCCGGACGACGGGUGGGAGUACGGCCGGCGCGCGCACGGGCGCGGGCACGGCAGGCCCGAGGAUGGCGACGCCGGCGCUUUCUACGCGUGGUGGCGCUCUCUGUUUCUCCUCUAGCCGUUUCCAGCCGGGAUGCCAGUCACUACGCCAAAGACAACCUGAACCUGUUUGCUCAGUAAAGCAUGACAACCGCUGUAAAUAUUUCAACGGCAAUGGUGGAUGUACUGGAGAAGCAGAGCACACUGGAAAUAAAAUAGGAGAAUGUAAUAGUGCAAAAAACGGCCAAAAUGUAAUUGCGCCACUCACAAUGUAAACG
RNA transcript from Triticum aestivum (bread wheat), 1466 nucleotides. It is a transcript of the gene named E3 ubiquitin-protein ligase RZF1, with no coding region annotated. The record is from RefSeq and is a predicted model, not a curated record. The transcript is spliced from 3 exons. NCBI's taxonomy places the organism in Eukaryota, Viridiplantae, Streptophyta, Magnoliopsida, Poales, Poaceae.